This 501-nucleotide ribosomal RNA is filed under the name uncultured bacterium. RNAcentral's name for it is "partial 16S ribosomal RNA". It matches the Rfam family "Bacterial small subunit ribosomal RNA", at positions 30 to 523 of the family's 1533-position model. The record is from RNAcentral.
AUUGAACGCUGGCGGCAGGCUUAACACAUGCAAGUCGAGCGGGGGAAGGUAGCUUGCUACUGGACCUAGCGGCGGACGGGUGAGUAAUGCUUAGGAAUCUGCCUAUUAGUGGGGGACAACAUCUCGAAAGGGAUGCUAAUACCGCAUACGUCCUACGGGAGGAAGCAGGGGAUCUUCGGACCUUGCGCUAAUAGAUGAGCCUAAGUCGGAUUAGCUAGUUGGUGGGGUAAAGGCCUACCAAGGCGACGAUCUGUAGCGGGUCUGAGAGGAUGAUCAGCCACACUGGGACUGGAACACGGCCCAGACUCCUACGGGAGGCAGCAGUGGGGAAUAUUGGACAAUGGGCGGAAGCCUGAGCCAGCCAUGCCGCGUGUGUGAAGAAGGCCUUAUGGUUGUAAAGCACUUUAAGCGGGGAGGAGGCUACUUUAGUUAAUACCUAGAGAUAGUGGACGUUACUCGCAGAAUAAGCACCGGCUAACUCUGUGCCAGCCGCCGCAGUAA